ACGAACGCUGGCGGCGUGCCUAAUACAUGCAAGUCGAGCGGACCUUUCGGGGUCAGCGGCGGACGGGUGAGUAACACGUGGGCAAUCUGCCCGAUACUCUGGGAUAACGCUUGGAAACGAGUGCUAAUACCGGAUGGUCUUCUUGGUCGCAUGGCCGAGAAGGAAAAGACGCGUUCGCGUCGGUGUCGGAUGAGCCCGCGGCGCAUUAGCUAGUUGGUGAGGUAACGGCCCACCAAGGCGACGAUGCGUAGCCGACCUGAGAGGGUGACCGGCCACACUGGGACUGAGACACGGCCCAGACUCCUACGGGAGGCAGCAGUAGGGAAUCUUCCACAAUGGGCGAAAGCCUGAUGGAGCAACGCCGCGUGAGUGAUGAAGGCCUUCGGGUUGUAAAACUCUGUCAUUCGGGACGAACCGGAGUCUGAGGAAAUGCAGACUCUCUGACGGUACCGGAGGAGGAAGCCCCGGCUAACUACGUGCCAGCAGCCGCGGUAAUACGUAGGGGGCAAGCGUUGUCCGGAUUCACUGGGCGUAAAGCGCGCGCAGGCGGUGAUGUAAGUCUGAGGGUGAAAACCCGAAGCUCAACUUCGGGACUGCCUUGGAUACUGCGUCACUUGAGGAUAGGAGAGGCAAGGGGAAUUCCACGUGUAGCGGUGAAAUGCGUAGAGAUGUGGAGGAACACCUGUGGCGAAGGCGCCUUGCUGGCCUAUUUCUGACGCUGAGGCGCGAAAGCGUGGGGAGCAAACAGGAUUAGAUACCCUGGUAGUCCACGCUGUAAACGAUGAGUGCUAGGUGUAGGUGGGCUCAUACCCAUCUGUGCCGAAGCUAACGCAUUAAGCACUCCGCCUGGGGAGUACGGUCGCAAGACUGAAACUCAAAGGAAUUGACGGGGGCCCGCACAAGCAGUGGAGCAUGUGGUUUAAUUCGAAGCAACGCGAAGAACCUUACCAGGACUUGACAUCCCAUAGACCAGUCUAGAGAUAGACUUUCCCUUCGGGGCUGUGGUGACAGGUGGUGCAUGGUUGUCGUCAGCUCGUGUCGUGAGAUGUUGGGUUAAGUCCCGCAACGAGCGCAACCCUUACUUUGUGUUGCCAGCAUUCAGUUGGGCACUCACAAGGGACUGCCGCCGAUAAGGCGGAGGAAGGUGGGGAUGACGUCAAAUCAUCAUGCCCCUUAUGUCCUGGGCUACACACGUGCUACAAUGGGCGGUACAACGGGAUGCGAAGCCGCGAGGUGGAGCCAAACCCUGAAAACCGUUCGUAGUUCGGAUUGUAGGCUGCAACUCGCCUACAUGAAGCCGGAAUUGCUAGUAAUCGCGGAUCAGCAUGCCGCGGUGAAUCCGUUCCCGGGCCUUGUACACACCGCC
RNAcentral lists this ribosomal RNA (1366 nucleotides) under uncultured bacterium. RNAcentral describes it as "bacterial SSU rRNA". It matches the Rfam family "Bacterial small subunit ribosomal RNA", at positions 29 to 1394 of the family's 1533-position model. The record is from RNAcentral.